Molecule: ribosomal RNA, 464 nt
Filed under: uncultured bacterium
Lineage: Bacteria
Description: partial 16S ribosomal RNA
Rfam family: Bacterial small subunit ribosomal RNA
Source: RNAcentral
CUACGGGAUGCACCAGUGGGGAAUAUUGCACAAUGGGCGCAAGCCUGAUGCAGCCAUGCCGCGUGUAUGAAGAAGGCCUUCGGGUUGUAAAGUACUUUCAGCGGGGAGGAAGGGAGUAAAGUUAAUACCUUUGCUCAUUGGCGUUACCCGCAGAAGAAGCACCGGCUAACUCCGUGCCAGCAGCCGCGGUAAUACGGAGGGUGCAAGCGUUAAUCGGAAUUACUGGGCGUAAAGCGCACGCAGGCGGUUUGUUAAGUCAGAUGUGAAAUCCCCGGGCUCAACCUGGGAACUGCAUCUGAUACUGGCAAGCUCGAGUCUCGUAGAGGGGGGUAGAAUUCCAGGUGUAGCGGUGAAAUGCGUAGAGAUCUGGAGGAAUACCGGUGGCGAAGGCGGCCCCCUGGACGAAGACUGACGCUCAGGUGCGAAAGCGUGGGGAGCAAACAGGAUUAGAUACCCCUGUAGUC